AGCUGAGUGUGGUCAUUGCCAUUCGAGAGAAGGCUUCCUUUCCCUUGGGUUCUCCAAGUGCUCUGAGGUGGAGUGCCUCUUGCUUUACAGAUGAUCGUGUUCUGGCUUUUAGGGGAAGCAUUCAGACUCCAAAGCUGUUGCAUGAGAUGAGUUCCUUCUUUGUUGACUGUCUAGGAUGAUGGCUCAGUUCAAGGAUGAUUGGAGGAGAGAACAGUUGCUGAAUGGUGAGUCUGUGGUGGUCCAACAGAGGCCCUGCUCAUUGUGGGGGAGUCUCAGGGGAAGACGGGUGCAGGGGAGCUGCACAAAAGGGAGACCCUCUGGCCCAAGCCUACUGACCUUUCCCAGAAACGUGAUGACCACUUUUCUUUGCACUAACUCUGGCUCUGGACGCAGCCAGAUAUGACGGCAAGUCCCAUUGAUAGUUUUCACAUCAUUGUAUUUCUGGCAUGCUCCAUCUGUUUCUUUACCACGUGUCUUUGAUGCUCAGUGAUCAACCUUCUCAACACCAACCUACACAUAUAAACUUAUGUGUAAACGCCCCCUACAUGUAUACCGUGACAUCUUAAGGUUUUCAUUUCGUUGUUAUUUCAACUGACAUUUAUCAUCCUCGCAUGUUAUUCCUUGGAUUUUUCGUAUCCUUGCUUCUCAAGCAGAAAAUUCCUUUUCACCAAAUAUAGCCUAAUAAAUAAUUAACUUGUAAAAUUUUGCUGAUUUCA
This 716-nucleotide long non-coding RNA is filed under the name Sus scrofa (pig). RNAcentral's name for it is "lncRNA (ENSSSCG00070010438.1)". Lineage: Eukaryota; Metazoa; Chordata; Mammalia; Artiodactyla; Suidae. The record is from RNAcentral.